This 548-nucleotide ribosomal RNA is filed under the name uncultured Glomeromycotina. RNAcentral describes it as "SSU rRNA". It matches the Rfam family "Eukaryotic small subunit ribosomal RNA", at positions 548 to 1098 of the family's 1831-position model. Lineage: Eukaryota; Fungi; Glomeromycota. The record is from RNAcentral.
UUGGAGGGCAAGUCUGGUGCCAGCAGCCGCGGUAAUUCCAGCUCCAAUAGCGUAUAUUAAAGUUGUUGCAGUUAAAAAGCUCGUAGUUGAAUUUCGGGAUCAAUUUAUUGGUCGUGCUAUUGUACGUACUGGUACUAUUGAUUCCUACCUUCUGACGAACCACGAUGUCAUUAAUUUGGUGUCAUGGGGAAUCAGGACUGUUACUUUGAAAAAAUUAGAGUGUUUAAAGCAGGCUCACGCUUGAAUACAUUAGCAUGGAAUAACGAAAUAGGACGUUUGAUUCUAUUUUGUUGGUUUCUAGGAUCGACGUAAUGAUUAAUAGGGAUAGUUGGGGGCAUUAGUAUUCAAUUGUCAGAGGUGAAAUUCUUGGAUUUAUUGAAGACUAACUACUGCGAAAGCAUUUGCCAAGGAUGUUUUCAUUAAUCAAGAACGAAAGUUAGGGGAUCGAAGACGAUCAGAUACCGUCGUAGUCUUAACCAUAAACUAUGCCGACUAGGGAUCGGAUGAUGUUAAUUUUUUAAUGACUCAUUCGGCGCCUUACGGGAAAC